Anguilla rostrata (American eel) is the source of this 1837-nucleotide long non-coding RNA. RefSeq lists it as uncharacterized. Lineage: Eukaryota; Metazoa; Chordata; Actinopteri; Anguilliformes; Anguillidae. The transcript has 4 exons. The record is from RefSeq and is a predicted model, not a curated record.
UCAUAUGUCUUGAGCGCCUCUCAUAGAUGCACGAGGGGUAGACGCGCGAGACACUGAAAACUGGCGACAACUGGUUUUGGGGGCAGAACAGGAAGCUGGAGUGAAGGAGAAGCGGAACCGAAGCUGGUAGACAGAAGCAGGUCUGACCUCAGGCACGGAAAUGCUGAAAAUAGGGAAGCGGUGAAGGAGGAAGAGAUGAGAUGAUGUCGUCUGGAACCAGUACCUCCAGAGGAGGAAACCAGCAGACCUGGGAACGGCUUCACCCGCGUGCCUCGCAUAGCUUAGCAGAGGCCGCCGCCAACGUCUGUUUCAGUGAGACGGGCGGUAUGCGGUGGUGGAGUGGGAGGAGGAGGAGGAGGAAGAUAAUUUGUUGGAAGAAUGUUCUGCCACAGGUAUGCGCUUGGGUGAAGGAUGAAAAAAAAGACUUUGGCAUGAGAACAAGCCCCCCACCCCCCCAACAGCCAUCCUGCAAGCCCUGCCAUCGAGCUCAUAUUAGAGAAAGCCACACUGCAUGAAGUUCUCCCUUCGGUUUGACUGCGUGCACAUUGUGCAAGCGGUGGCCAGUUGCAGUUUCAAAGAAAAAGAAAAAGCAAGAAUGCGUCUGACUAGCUGUUGCAUGACAAGUGCAUUUUAGGUGCUGUUCUUUUUAAAAUUAUUUUAUUUACUUCCAGUUCAAAAAAGAUUUAGCCUUGCUGCAAAACAAUUUACAAAACUCUGGUGCAUACUUUGCAGAAGUACCUACUGGUAACUUGCUAGUUACUCAUACUUUUUUCUUAACAUACUGCUGCAGGUCAUGCACUUUCACCAAAACUUUUCAAAACAUGUUUCCUGUCCUUUCAGAAACACGAAUGGUACAAAAUCAACUUUUCUUAUUUGAAAAAGAAAACUGUACCACUUAUUAAGCAAACUCUCUCUAGAAAAGUCUUACAGGGAGGUUGGGCGGAACUUUUGGAGGAAGUGGUUGCUGAUUGGCCAGUCCUUGUCUGCCUGGCCUAGCAACAGCCGUCCCAUGUUGCUUUAAAAAGCAACGAAAACAACGUUUCCCAUAAGUCAGCUGACCGAAAAGUUGCCGGGGGGAGGGGCUGACAGGUUGAAAAUUGAAAGAUUUGGCUCUAACUUCUAAACUGGCCCUCCGGGGGCUGGUCUGUGGAUUGAAACCAGAGCAAACUUGUGGGCUUUAAACGGUCACCGCGACGACAGGGAAUGCAUCCACGUGUUCCAUGACUCCUGGAGAGUCUGGGGAGAGUUAUAAUGCACUGCAGGGCUGGCUGUCUGUGAAUGUGGAAAGUUUGUGUUUGCAGUCGAAUGAAAGUUUUCCAGCUGUGAUCUCAGCCUUGCAGUCAUGUGCAAAGAUCUUUCUUUAUUUAUUUUUUUUAGUGCUGCUGGCUUUUAGCUAAAAGCAUCAGCAACCAGCAUGAGAUAUUAUUAACAUUACUGUAUUAUCUGCACUUUAUAUGCUGUAUGUUUGUUUUGGUUAUUUUAUACAUGACCUUGUACUUAGUGACUUCACCUUCCAUUUCUGCUAAUGUAACAUGAGUGCUGCUGCUAUUACAACAACAGCAGCAACAACAACAACAGCAGAAAUGGUGACCCUUAACAUACAUAGCUAAACACCCCCAGAGUUAUAACCUAAAGUUAUCUCUGAACUGCUUUUUAAAUAACUGUCAUAUAUCUCAAAUAAACCGCUGCUCAUAUCACACGGUCGUUGAGCCCGGGUACUUAUUCUGUCGGUCUGUGUCCCCAUACUGUUUUGAUGGAUGAUUAGAUCCUGCUCAGAGGGCGGUGCUGGUGAGCAGUGGACGAUAAGCUGCAAUCGAGGAAAAAAAAAAAAAACUUU